RNAcentral lists this ribosomal RNA (483 nucleotides) under uncultured bacterium. RNAcentral describes it as "partial 16S ribosomal RNA". It matches the Rfam family "Bacterial small subunit ribosomal RNA", at positions 30 to 506 of the family's 1533-position model. The record is from RNAcentral.
AUUGAACGCUGGCGGCAGGCCUAACACAUGCAAGUCGAGCGGAUGAAGGGAGCUUGCUCCUGGAUUCAGCGGCGGACGGGUGGGUAAUGCCUAGGAAUCUGCCUGGUAGUGGGGGAUAACGUCCGGAAACGGGCGCUAAUACCGCAUACGUCCUGAGGGAGAAAGUGGGGGAUCUUCGGACCUCACGCUAUCAGAUGAGCCUAGGUCGGAUUAGCUAGUUGGUGGGGUAAAGGCCUACCAAGGCGACGAUCCGUAACUGGUCUGAGAGGAUGAUCAGUCAAACGGGAACUGAGACACGGUCCAGACUCCUACGGGGGGCAGGGGGGGGGAAUUUUGGAAAAUGGGGGAAAGCCUGAUCCAGCCAUGCCGGGUGUGUGAAGAAGGUCUUCGGAUUGUAAAGCACUUUAAGUUGGGAGGAAGGGCAGUAAGUUAAUACCUUGCUGUUUUGACGUUACCAAAAGAAUAAGCACCGGCUAACUUCGU